AUCAAAACAGUGUCCAUACGAGUGGCUCCCCAACUCCAAGCUGAAGCCAAUGCGGCGGCCGGGUGGCCCGCUAUGAAGUGCAUUGAAUUGGAAACUUUGUUAGCAAUCAAUAAAAAAAGAAAAACGAAACAUAGCUUGGGAAAAUGAUGUAGUCGUAUAAUUUUAGACACGAACAGGAAAAUUUUGACCGAGUUUCGGCACCAGCACACGCCCACUGCCCCCGCACGAACACAGCGGACAGGUGAACACUCAUCAGAAGAGGGGAAGGAGGAGGAAGGACCAGACCAGGACAAGGGUGGUCGUCCCUGGCAACGUUCGCUAUGAAAACUAAACGAAAACAAAAGAAACUCCAAAGACAACGGACAACACAUUCAGAAAAUUAAAGGAGACAGAAGGCGGAUACAACAACGGACAGAGACAUCGCCAAGUUGCGACAGUCGAGAGAUUGCAAUCACGGAGACCGUUCGGCAGCAUCAACUGCAGCCAGGACAGAACCAGAAGCAGGAGCAGCUGGCUAAAGCUGUGGGGCAAAGCAGUUGGAGCCACGCCACGCACUUUGCCGCACGAGACUCGACGGCACACUGCCACACACUGGGGAAUUGCAUAGACAUCGACUCGGUAGCCGUGGUGCAGCACAAGCUGGUGCACAAGAUUGUGUGAGUAGAUUCCAACAGAGCCCCUGCUCCGCCCCCGUUUGUUGCAUAUCCCAUAAUGAAUAAAUAAGUGAGUGC
This 731-nucleotide long non-coding RNA is filed under the name Drosophila guanche. Lineage: Eukaryota; Metazoa; Arthropoda; Insecta; Diptera; Drosophilidae. The record is from RNAcentral.